GUCCCUGUUGCGUAAAGGGAAACGCGUUGGACUUUUGAUCCAAAGAAGGUUGUGGGUUCGAAUCCCACCUGGGGUG
This is a non-coding RNA of Trichonephila clavata, 76 nucleotides long. NCBI's taxonomy places the organism in Eukaryota, Metazoa, Arthropoda, Arachnida, Araneae, Nephilidae. The record is from the annotation of a GenBank genome assembly.